This 38-nucleotide small RNA is filed under the name Romboutsia ilealis. Its description in RNAcentral is "CRISPR spacer". Lineage: Bacteria; Bacillati; Bacillota; Clostridia; Peptostreptococcales; Peptostreptococcaceae. The record is from RNAcentral.
AUUAUAUUUGAAAUCAUUUUUACAAUUAAUAUCAUAUA